RNAcentral lists this ribosomal RNA (252 nucleotides) under uncultured bacterium. RNAcentral's name for it is "partial 16S ribosomal RNA". It matches the Rfam family "Bacterial small subunit ribosomal RNA", at positions 524 to 776 of the family's 1533-position model. The record is from RNAcentral.
UACGUAGGUCCCGAGCGUUGUCCGGAUUUAUUGGGCGUAAAGCGAGCGCAGGUGGUUUAUUAAGUCUGGUGUAAAAAGCAGUGGCUCAACCAUUGUAUGCAUUGAAAACUGGUAGACUUGAGUGCAGGAGAGGAGAGUGGAAUUCCAUGUGUAGCGGUGAAAUGCGUAGAUAUAUGGAGGAACACCGGUGGCGAAAGCGGCUCUCUGGCCUGUAACUGACACUGAGGCUCGAAAGCGUGGGGAGCAAACAGG